CGAGUGUGAUAUAUGCGAUACGUCACGAGUACCCAUUUUGUAUCUGUUUUAUCCAAUGACACCCGAGGUUUUGUCACCCACGUGCCUAGGGGUGGAGCUAUACAAUUGAUAAAAACCUGUCACUGUGAUAUGUUUCCCGCCAAUUUCUGACACGUUUCAUUCUGUCACAGUAGCCUAUUCAUUUCUAGUGAGACUGUCAACCAUGGCGGAUCAGGUACUGAUCAUUGAUGUCGAUGUGUUUGCCGACCUCGACCAAGUAUGAGUAGGAACUGGAAGAUAGUGACACGGUAGCUACUGACAUUGGAUUAUUUGAUACCAAGGAAUUAACGCAACCAAUUGUUGUAAAUAAACUGAAUGGUAAUGUGAAAAACAUGUGAAAGACUGCAGGAUUCGAGGGAAAUUACACAAACGGUAACUGCUCCGGAAAGAGGACCUGCGCUACUUCCCUUUACCAAGCAGGUUUUAAUGAACAACUCAAUAUGGACAGGACGGAACAUCACAGCAGGGCUGUACGUGCAUACAAUGUGAAGAAAGAAGACAAACAAAGAACAUUUCUAAACGGCACUCGUAUUUCAUUAAAUUUUGUUUAAAAUGUA
This is a long non-coding RNA of Pecten maximus, 596 nucleotides long. RefSeq lists it as uncharacterized. NCBI's taxonomy places the organism in Eukaryota, Metazoa, Mollusca, Bivalvia, Pectinida, Pectinidae. The transcript has 2 exons. The record is from RefSeq and is a predicted model, not a curated record.